CGGUGAAAUUAUAGUACCUGUGAAGAUGCAGGUUACCCGCGACAGGACGGAAAGACCCCGUGGAGCUUUACUGUAGCCUGAUAUUGAAUUUUGGUACAUUUUGUACAGGAUAGGCGGGAGCCAUUGAAACCGGAGCGCUAGCUUCGGUGGAGGCGCUGGUGGGAUACCGCCCUGAAUGUAUUGAAAUUCUAACCUACGGGUCUUAUCGACCCGGGAGACAGUGUCAGGUGGGCAGUUUGACUGGGGCGGUCGCCUCCUAAAGUGUAACGGAGGC
Molecule: ribosomal RNA, 274 nt
Filed under: Bacillus sp. HY001
Lineage: Bacteria; Bacillati; Bacillota; Bacilli; Caryophanales; Bacillaceae
Description: partial 23S ribosomal RNA
Rfam family: Bacterial large subunit ribosomal RNA
Source: RNAcentral